RNAcentral lists this ribosomal RNA (408 nucleotides) under uncultured bacterium. Its description in RNAcentral is "partial 16S ribosomal RNA". It matches the Rfam family "Bacterial small subunit ribosomal RNA", at positions 28 to 526 of the family's 1533-position model. The record is from RNAcentral.
GUCGAACGCUGGCGGCGUGCUUAACACAUGCAAGUCGAACGAAGUGGCGAACGGGUGAGUAACGCGUAAUCAACCUGCCCUUCAGAGGGGGACAACAGUUGGAAACGACUGCUAAUACCGCAUAAUGAAGGAGGGGAUUGCGUCGGAUUAGCUAGUUGGAGGGGUAACGGCCCACCAAGGCGAUGAUCAGUAGCCGGGCCUGGAGGAGGGACGGCACAAGUGGGACUGGGACACGGCCCAGACGCCUACGGGAGGCAGCAGGGGGGAAUCUUCCGAAAUGGACGAAAGUCUGACGGAGCAAAGCCGGGUGAGUGAUGACGGCCUUCGGGUUGUAAAGCUCUGUUAAUCGGGACGCGGUACCGGAAUAGAAAGCCACGGCUAACUACGUGCCAGCAGCCGCGGUAAUAC